UACGAAGGGUGCAAGCGUUAAUCGGAAUUACUGGGCGUAAAGCGCGCGUAGGUGGUUUGAUAAGUUGGAUGUGAAAGCCCUGGGCUCAACCUGGGAACUGCAUCCAAAACUGUUUGACUAGAGUACGGUAGAGGGUGGUGGAAUUUCCUGUGUAGCGGUGAAAUGCGUAGAUAUAGGAAGGAACACCAGUGGCGAAGGCGACCACCUGGACUGAUACUGACACUGAGGUGCGAAAGCGUGGGGAGCAAACAGG
Molecule: ribosomal RNA, 253 nt
Filed under: uncultured bacterium
Lineage: Bacteria
Description: partial 16S ribosomal RNA
Rfam family: Bacterial small subunit ribosomal RNA
Source: RNAcentral